This 407-nucleotide ribosomal RNA is filed under the name uncultured bacterium. RNAcentral describes it as "bacterial SSU rRNA". It matches the Rfam family "Bacterial small subunit ribosomal RNA", at positions 41 to 493 of the family's 1533-position model. The record is from RNAcentral.
GGCACGCCUUAUACAUGCAAGUCGAACGAAGUAGCAAUACUUAGUGGCAGACGGGUGAGUAACAUGUAGGUAUCUUCCCUUUGGUGAGGAAUAACACGAGGAAACUUGUGCUAAUACCUCAUAAGUCUUUACGGAGAAAGCUUUAUGCGCCGAAGGAUGAGCCUGCACUUGAUUAGUUUGUUGGUGGGGUAAUGGCCUACCAAGACUUUGAUCUAUAGCUGAUCUGAGAGGAUGAUCAGCCACAUUGGGACUGAGACACGGCCCAAACUCCUACGGGAGGCAGCAGUAGGGAAUAUUGCACAAUGGAGGAAACUCUGAUGCAGCGAUGCCGCGUGAGUGAAGAAGGCCUUUGGGUUGUAAAGCUCUUUCGUCGGGGAAGAAAAUGACUGUACCCGAAUAAGAAGGUC